RNAcentral lists this ribosomal RNA (168 nucleotides) under uncultured eukaryote. RNAcentral describes it as "partial small subunit ribosomal RNA". It matches the Rfam family "Eukaryotic small subunit ribosomal RNA", at positions 1662 to 1828 of the family's 1831-position model. The record is from RNAcentral.
GUACACACCGCCCGUCGCUCCUACCGAUUGGGUGUGCUGGUGAAGUGUUCGGACUGGCAGCUUAGGGUGGCAACACCUCAGGUCUGCCGAGAAGUUCCCUAAACCCUCCCACCUAGAGGAAGGAGAAGUCGUAACAAGGUUUCCGUAGGUGAACCUGCAGAAGGAUCA